Molecule: ribosomal RNA, 253 nt
Filed under: uncultured prokaryote
Description: partial 16S ribosomal RNA
Rfam family: Bacterial small subunit ribosomal RNA
Source: RNAcentral
ACAGAGGGUGCAAACGUUGUUCGGAAUUACUGGGCAUAAAGAGCACGUAGGUGGUUCGCUAAGUCACGUGUGAAAUCCCCCGGCUCAACCGGGGAAUUGCGCGUGAUACUGGCGGACUCGAGGCGGGUAGGGGUGAGCGGAACUCCAGGUGGAGCGGUGAAAUGCGUAGAUAUCUGGAGGAACACCGGUGGCGAAAGCGGCUCACUGGACCCGAUCUGACACUGAGGUGCGAAAGCUGGGGUAGCAAACGGGA